UCGCUUUCCUCUACUCGCCGCUGCGCUUCGUGCCCCUGUACGUCGUGCUCGCAGUCGCCGCCUAUCGCCAGAUCGCCCCAGUUUGCCCAAUCAGUGAACAACGAAAGAAUAUGUAUCUUGGAUCAGACCCCAAUUCGUGGUCAGUGGAGAACAAUAUUGCAAUACUCUAGUAGACAAGGACGUCUGGAAGCACCGGCAACAUGUCAAGCAAUCAAGAUCUAGCGCUGCAUUUUCUCGUCAUCGGUUAUACUUUAUUCAUAAUUUGGACACUUUGAUUCAUCUUUACUGUUCAAUUUCCUAGGAUCAACUAAUAUUCAUAAGGUGAACUCUUUAUUUUGGAAUUUUGGUAAUUAUAUUCACGGUCAUAUCGUAUUCAAAGUAUAUUGUAUUGCUAAGUGUGCUAAUUUUAUGUGUAUUAUGACUUGAUAUCCACGCAUAUGUGAUAGAGAUGGGACCCCGGAUCAUUUUUGUCCUGGGUCCGCCCCUGAUCUGGACAGCUGAUUUACUAUCCAACGGUGCACGGAUACUCAGUUGCCAUCCGAAGCAAAUCCCAUGUGCGCUUUGGGCAGUUCGAUAUGCACGCCGCCGCCGCUGCUCGCCCGCCGUUCGUCCCCACGACGGAAGCUUCUAGAAACCCCACCAGCCGCCGCGGACGCGCCUCUGCCUGCUCCCGGCGUUCCCCGUUCCCAUCGCGCGUUACGGGCGCUAGCCUCCUACACCGCGACGCAUUGCACUGGAUCGCAUUGUGCUGCUAGGUGGUGGCUUAGUCCUGGAGUCGCAGCGGCGAACGGAUUGUGAGUGCCAGUUCGUGGAGAAUGGAGAUGAUUCUGGGAUCUACCCGCCCAGUUUUGCGCAGAGUCGUGGCUUCCAUGUUGUUAACCAGCAGGACCCCUAUGUGUGUGACAAAUUUAUGAACUAGGGACCGGUUGGGUUAGGUUUCAGCUUGUAGAUUUUGCGUGUGAUUAAGGUUUUGCCGUUUUGGAAAUGGAAACCGAUGUACUCCCUCCGUCCAGAAUUACUUGUCAUCAAAAUGGAUGAAAAUAGAUGUAUCUAAAACUAAAAUACAUCUAGAUACAUCCAUUUCAAUGACAAGUAUUUCCGGACGGAGGGAGUAACUAGUUACUGGCCAAGACUGCAGUGGAUUAUCUCUUGAAAAGACGUAACGAUCAGGUUUUGACUGAGUUGAUCCUGAUCUAUUUACUGGAUCGUCGGUGUCUUCUUUCUCACUCGAAUUACACAAAAGUGGACUGUUUCGU
This is a long non-coding RNA of Triticum aestivum (bread wheat), 1256 nucleotides long. RefSeq lists it as uncharacterized. Lineage: Eukaryota; Viridiplantae; Streptophyta; Magnoliopsida; Poales; Poaceae. The record is from RefSeq and is a predicted model, not a curated record. The transcript is spliced from 4 exons.